UGGGGAAUUUUGGACAAUGGGCGAAAGCCUGAUCCAGCAAUGCCGCGUGUGUGAAGAAGGCCUUCGGGUUGUAAAGCACUUUUGUCCGGAAAGAAAUCCUUGGCUCUAAUACAGUCGGGGGAUGACGGUACCGGAAGAAUAAGCACCGGCUAACUACGUGCCAGCAGCCGCGGUAAUACGUAGGGUGCAAGCGUUAAUCGGAAUUACUGGGCGUAAAGCGUGCGCAGGCGGUUUGCUAAGACCGAUGUGAAAUCCCCGGGCUCAACCUGGGAACUGCAUUGGUGACUGGCAGGCUAGAGUAUGGCAGAGGGGGGUAGAAUUCCACGUGUAGCAGUGAAAUGCGUAGAGAUGUGGAGGAAUACCGAUGGCGAAGGCAGCCCCCUGGGCAAUACUGACGCUCAUGCACGAAAGCGUGGGGGAGCAAACAGGAUUAGAUACCCUGGUAGUCCACGCCCUAAACGAUGUCAACUAGUUGUUGGGGAUUCAUUUCCUUAGUAACGUAGCUAACGCGUGAAGUUGACCGCCUGGGGAGUACGGUCGCAAGAUUAAAACUUAAAUGAAUUGACGGGGUCAUAGCUGUUUCCU
This 585-nucleotide ribosomal RNA is filed under the name uncultured bacterium. RNAcentral's name for it is "partial 16S ribosomal RNA". It matches the Rfam family "Bacterial small subunit ribosomal RNA", at positions 355 to 1375 of the family's 1533-position model. The record is from RNAcentral.